GUGGGGAAUAUUGGACAAUGGGCGAAAGCCUGAUCCAGCAAUGCCGCGUGAGUGAUGAAGGCCUUAGGGUUGUAAAGCUCUUUUACCCGGGAUGAUAAUGACAGUACCGGGAGAAUAAGCUCCGGCUAACUCCGUGCCAGCAGCCGCGGUAAUACGGAGGGAGCUAGCGUUAUUCGGAAUUACUGGGCGUAAAGCGCACGUAGGCGGCUUUGUAAGUUAGAGGUGAAAGCCUGGAGCUCAACUCCAGAACUGCCUUUAAGACUGCAUCGCUUGAAUCCAGGAGAGGUGAGUGGAAUUCCGAGUGUAGAGGUGAAAUUCGUAGAUAUUCGGAAGAACACCAGUGGCGAAGGCGGCUCACUGGACUGGUAUUGACGCUGAGGUGCGAAAGCGUGGGGAGCAAACAGGAUUAGAUACCCUUGUAGUCC
Molecule: ribosomal RNA, 425 nt
Filed under: uncultured bacterium
Lineage: Bacteria
Description: bacterial SSU rRNA
Rfam family: Bacterial small subunit ribosomal RNA
Source: RNAcentral